GCUGCAAGACACUCUGCUUCUGGCUCUGAGCUUUGCCUGUCUUCAGGGAUGGAGCCCCUCCCAAGGCAAGUUCAACUGGGUUCUUUGGCAGCCGAAGUCUACACGGACUCUGCAGGGAGCGGUGGAGAAAAGUUAGAUGUCUGAAGUGUUUUUCAUUGGACCAAAAUCAAGGUGUUGGCUGGGCUACCUUCCCUUCUGGAGACUCUAAGGAAGAAUCCAUUUCUUUGUCUUUUCCAGAUCCUAGAGGCUGCCUGCAUUACUUAGCUUUUAUCCCUUGUCUUCCAUCUUUGGAGCCAGCAACAGUAUAUUGAUCAUGAGGAGAGGGCUCACCCCUCACCCGGAGAAGUAGUUAGGAAAGCAAUAUGCGGAAACAAAGCCAUGAAUCUGACAAGAAAUGUACUUAAGAUUGUAUACAUGGAGAUGAAUACUCAUUGUCCUUUGCACUUUCUGGAUGAUAAAUUAGAAAGGAAGAAUCCAAAGAAUGAAGUUGUGCUAUUUGUCCUCAUUUCUGAUUUGGGAAACUAGAGGAAAUUAAGAUGGGAAAAGACCAUGUGAGGACACAGUGAGAAGGAGACCAUAUGCAAAGCAGGAAGGAAGAUCUCACUGGAACCAAAAACCAGCCCUGCUG
RNAcentral lists this long non-coding RNA (628 nucleotides) under Pongo abelii (Sumatran orangutan). RNAcentral describes it as "lincRNA". Lineage: Eukaryota; Metazoa; Chordata; Mammalia; Primates; Hominidae. The record is from RNAcentral.